CCGACCAUGGACAACUCUACUCCAAACUUCUUUCAAACUUCAUCAAUGUCUAAGCUUCUCCGACAACAGAAUUUCUAUAGUAAUCAGACUCCAUCCAAGUUUUUACGAUGGCCGACGACCUUCUGAAUUUCAUCCGAGCUCCUACAGUGGAUGGAUCCCAGAUGAAUUUUAACAACAGAAGGGCUCCACCAGUCGGAUCUC
This 201-nucleotide long non-coding RNA is filed under the name Elaeis guineensis (African oil palm). Its description in RNAcentral is "long non-coding RNA (EGUI_LNC065516)". Lineage: Eukaryota; Viridiplantae; Streptophyta; Magnoliopsida; Arecales; Arecaceae. The record is from RNAcentral.